AGGGUCGUGGUCCAAUGGUUACGACAAGGGUUUCCAAAACCUUUAAUGGGGGUUCGAUUCCCUCCGACCCUGCCA
This 75-nucleotide transfer RNA is filed under the name Gammaproteobacteria bacterium. RNAcentral describes it as "tRNA-Trp". It matches the Rfam family "tRNA". Rfam says of the family: Transfer RNA (tRNA) molecules are approximately 80 nucleotides in length. The record is from RNAcentral. Lineage: Bacteria; Pseudomonadati; Pseudomonadota; Gammaproteobacteria.